Molecule: long non-coding RNA, 1920 nt
Organism: Polyodon spathula (Mississippi paddlefish)
Lineage: Eukaryota; Metazoa; Chordata; Actinopteri; Acipenseriformes; Polyodontidae
Exons: 3
Source: RefSeq, a predicted model, not a curated record
CUUUGUUUCUCAAAGGAGAAAGCAGAGGGUACAAGCAGGAUCUCAACAUGUUAAUAAGUGACUCGUCUUUAUUGAGGCUGGCAUGAAAAAUCAGAAGGAACCGAGAUCUCAAGUCAUCCUAUUACUAAUCUGGUAUAAGAAUAUGCAGCGACAGUAGGGCUUGGAGGGGGGUUAGAAGUCCUACCCAUGCAGCUGCAGAACUGGUUCUCUCAAGCAGAUUAGCGGAUGUGGGUUUUGAUUCAGAGGAGGACAAACAGACUGCGAUAGAGGGAAGGGGGAGGCGAGUGAGAGGAGAAGGGCGUGGGGAGGUGUCAAAAAAAAGUAGCUCUCGGUCUUCCUUGUUGCUGUGGAAACUGUUUUUUACUUGAGCAAGAAGCUGUAUGUCACGCCAAUUCACUUGCACAACUUCUUGUGCUCUGUCAUCUCUCUCCCCCUCCUCACUCCUUGCUGUCUCUCUCUCUGGGGAUACAAGAGGCUGUCUGUCUGUCCGCACAUAUGUCUGUCUGUCACACUUGCAUUUGAUCCCUAUAUUUGGAGAAGUGAUUCUCCUGAAACUUGGUAUAAACAUGAUUUAGCAGAAAGUAUUGAGAGCAUUAGAUUGCCCGCCAGUCUGUCUGCCACACAUUGUUCCAUUAUGCCGGCAGCUUUGAACAUUAUUCAUUUUCAGAGUUACGGGAAUUUCAGACUUGCGCACGGCCUCCCUUCCUUCCCAAGGUGUUGGUAACUUCAAGGCUCUAUUCAGACGCUUGGUGACUCCUUGGCAGGUUCUGGGUACGCACGAGGGUGCCUGUGUCUCUGUUCUUUAUUAAAGUCUGUCUCGGAUAUCUGUGUUUCCUGUCUCCACGAUUGUGGGAGGACAGCUGCAAACUUCUCCCUGCCUAACACCCUCCACCCCUCGCCUCUCAAUCUCACAGGCUAACCUCAAACUUCCUAUUUCAGGCAGUGACGAAAGUAAAAGCAACACAGGCGCACAAAGCCGUUCCCUUGGCCAUCGCCGGCUUCUACAUAUCUAUAGAGAAUCCAAACCCACAGUGGAUAUUACAGGAGCAGCAAGUCUUGCUGUAGUUCCAUUAAGGGGAUUGCAGCUGCAAUGGAAAAUAUUUCAUUUUUUGUCAAUGUUUUAGACUCACCUUUAGAAUAAUCAUGAUGGCAAUAAUGAGUUAAAAAACUAUUGAAAGAAUGUUACCAAUUGUAUGAAAAAAGAUGAAUGAUUAAUUAUAGGAAAUUAUAAAAGGGUUGAAAUAUACAACUAUGGCUGUUAAUUCUAUAGAGAGGGUAUGGAAUUCAAUAUGUUAACAAGGGAACAUUAUUCAGCAUUUUCAUUCCACUUUAUAAAGCAAAAUUAGUUAAUUCUAUAGGGGGAUGCAAAACUGUUUGCCGUAGUGGUAUAGAAAUCUAUUUUGGUGGCCGAUCUCACUGUCGAAUAUGGAUUAUAAAAUAUCUGCUAAAUUACUACAUCAAGACCGAAAACACAACAGCCUCCUUCCUGCCAACAUUCGACGGAGCUUCAUGAUACCAUGUCCUCAGGGGGGAGGGGAGAAGAGGCUUGUAAACUAGAGAGAGAUACACAGGAAGCGAGCUACGGGUGUAAGAAGCUGGCGUCAUUUCUGCUGUCUGCUGAGGUAAGAAGGGCUGUACGUUUUUUUUUUUUUUGUUGAUUCAUUUCACUUUAAAGAUUUUUUUCUAGGGGCUCGUUUCAAGGUUUACGAAUUGCAUUUUCCUCUGGUGCGAUUUUUUUUUGGGGGGAGAAGUCUUUUGGCAGGUGGCUGGGGUGGGGGGACAGAGAGAGAGAGAGACAGAGAGAGAACAUGGUGUCUUCCGGUUUAUCAACGCCCUUUCAAUCAGAGAGGCCUUGAUUGUGAACCGUGGGUCCACCUCUUCUCUUUCGUAGUGAGGUGUCCUCUCGAUCGGAGCUGACGA